AGGUAAAUAUUCCUCACGCCAGCAGGUGAGGAGGCUGGGGCCAGAUGACAGCUAGUGAGGGAGCAGAGACAAGACAAGGCGAGCCUGUGACAGAGCGAGACCCUGUCUCAAAAAACAAAAACAAGACAUGUGAGCUUGGACUCCAGUGUGGAAUCCCAUGUCCGCUCAGUGCACCUUUCUGCCGCUGAAAGUACAAGAGGAGAGGGGAAACCCACAGGUGGAGCUGACCAUGAGGACUGUCACAGCUUUGAGAGGCAAAUCCAGAAAUCAGCCCUCCAGCUUCCUCUACCAAGAAGACUGGCGGUUACAACCCUGGCUCUGUGGGGCUUCUCUUGCCCUCUCUUCUGACUGCCCUACUUGGCUCCAGGUGAGGGUGAGAGGAAGCUGGAGAUGGAAGAUGCAGCUGGGGGAACUCACCAGGCAGGUCUCAGGGAACUCUUUGAAUAAGAGGACACCAGAUCAUGCCUGCAGUUCCAGCCCAGGAGCAACUAGCACCAGCCUCAGCAUGGAGCAGGACUUCAGUUCCAGCAGCGAGGACUGAGAUCAGACACAAGAGAAAGCUCCCUGAUGAGGAGGGGUGAUUCUAAAACGAAGGGCGGAAAUUAUCUGGGGAAUUUCCUUCCCGUGAAGCCUCAGGAACAUGCCAGUCCCCCACUUCGGUCUGUCCUGGGGGGUCUCACGCCCCUGUCCUCCUAGAGAAAUCUAGAUCCUCCAAACUCUGCCUGGGUUCUUCCUGGGGAGUCUUGACCCCUGCCUUGUGGUUGAUGUGGGAUAGGGGACCCGGGAACAGGGCUGCCUUCCUCUGGCCAAGGCCUGGCAAGCAAGUGUGGGAUGGGUGCUGUCUUCCUGAGAGGGACAAUAGAAGUGACAGAGCCCCCUAAUUCAAGACCCUGCAGAGGUGGUGUGAGAUCUUAUAAUAUCAGUCUCUAAGCCAGUGCCUCUCAAGCUCUCUUUGGUGAAGAAUCAAUUUUUAAAAUAUAUAAUCAGUCACAGAUCAAUGCUUUUGUAAAAUGCAAUAAAAGUUAAUUUCCAAAAAAAUCACAAAAAAAAAAAAAAAA
RNAcentral lists this long non-coding RNA (1058 nucleotides) under Homo sapiens (human). Its description in RNAcentral is "long independently transcribed non-coding RNA 1118 (LINC01118)". The record is from RNAcentral. Lineage: Eukaryota; Metazoa; Chordata; Mammalia; Primates; Hominidae.